GAUGAACGCUGGCGGCGUGCCUAAUACAUGCAAGUCGAGCGAACAGACGAGGAGCUUGCUCCUCUGACGUUAGCGGCGGACGGGUGAGUAACACGUGGAUAACCUACCUAUAAGACUGGGAUAACUUCGGGAAACCGGAGCUAAUACCGGAUAAUAUAUUGAACCGCAUGGUUCAAUAGUGAAAGACGGUUUUGCUGUCACUUAUAGAUGGAUCCGCGCCGCAUUAGCUAGUUGGUAAGGUAACGGCUUACCAAGGCAACGAUGCGUAGCCGACCUGAGAGGGUGAUCGGCCACACGGGAACUGAGACACGGUCCAGACUCCUACGGGAGGCAGCAGUAGGGAAUCUUCCGCAAUGGGCGAAAGCCUGACGGAGCAACGCCGCGUGAGUGAUGAAGGUCUUCGGAUCGUAAAACUCUGUUAUUAGGGAAGAACAAAUGUGUAAGUAACUAUGCACGUCUUGACGGUACCUAAUCAGAAAGCACGGCUAACUACGUG
Molecule: ribosomal RNA, 496 nt
Filed under: uncultured bacterium
Lineage: Bacteria
Description: partial 16S ribosomal RNA
Rfam family: Bacterial small subunit ribosomal RNA
Source: RNAcentral